AUACGUAGGGGGCAAGCGUUAUCCGGAUUUACUGGGUGUAAAGGGAGCGUAGACGGCAUGGCAAGUCUGAUGUGAAAACCCGGGGCUCAACCCCGGGAUUGCAUUGGAAACUGUCAAGCUAGAGUGCAGGAGAGGUAAGUGGAAUUCCUAGUGUAGCGGUGAAAUGCGUAGAUAUUAGGAGGAACACCAGUGGCGAAGGCGGCGUACUGGACUGAAACUGCAGUGGAGGCUCGAAAGCGUGGGGAGCAAAAAGGAUUAGAUGCCCUUGUGGUCCACUCCGUAAACGAUGAAUACUAUGUGUUGGGUUCCAAUAGGGAUUCGGUGCCGCAGCUAACGCAAUAAGUAUUCCGCCUGGGGAGUACGUUCGCAAGAAUGAAACUCAAAUGAAUUGACGGGG
RNAcentral lists this ribosomal RNA (397 nucleotides) under uncultured bacterium. RNAcentral's name for it is "partial 16S ribosomal RNA". It matches the Rfam family "Bacterial small subunit ribosomal RNA", at positions 523 to 918 of the family's 1533-position model. The record is from RNAcentral.